GGUGUUGGUCGAUUAAGACAGCAGGACGGUGGUCAUGGAAGUCGAAAUCCGCUAAGGAGUAUGUAACAACUCACAUGCCGAAUCAACUAGCCCCCAAAAUGGAUAGCGCUUAAGCGCGCGACCUAUACCCGGCCGUCGGGGCAAGAGCCUGGCCCCGAUGAGUAGGAGGGAGCGGCAGUCGCCGUAAAACCCGGGGCGCGAGCCCG
Molecule: non-coding RNA, 206 nt
Filed under: Gossypium arboreum
Lineage: Eukaryota; Viridiplantae; Streptophyta; Magnoliopsida; Malvales; Malvaceae
Description: Eukaryotic large subunit ribosomal RNA
Rfam family: Eukaryotic large subunit ribosomal RNA
Source: Rfam by way of RNAcentral